CUUCACCGAGCCGAGCCACAGCGGCCGGCCCUCGGCGCGGUUCUGGCCGUACGUCGCCAGGAUCGACUGCGCCUC
This is a non-coding RNA of Streptomyces ambofaciens ATCC 23877, 75 nucleotides long. The record is from Rfam. NCBI's taxonomy places the organism in Bacteria, Bacillati, Actinomycetota, Actinomycetes, Kitasatosporales, Streptomycetaceae.